This 623-nucleotide ribosomal RNA is filed under the name Bacillus subtilis. RNAcentral describes it as "bacterial SSU rRNA". It matches the Rfam family "Bacterial small subunit ribosomal RNA", at positions 556 to 1179 of the family's 1533-position model. The record is from RNAcentral. Lineage: Bacteria; Bacillati; Bacillota; Bacilli; Caryophanales; Bacillaceae.
GGGCGUAGAGGGCUCGCAGGCGGUUUCUUAAGUCUGAUGUGAAAGCCCCCGGCUCAACCGGGGAGGGUCAUUGGAAACUGGGGAACUUGAGUGCAGAAGAGGAGAGUGGAAUUCCACGUGUAGCGGUGAAAUGCGUAGAGAUGUGGAGGAACACCAGUGGCGAAGGCGACUCUCUGGUCUGUAACUGACGCUGAGGAGCGAAAGCGUGGGGAGCGAACAGGAUUAGAUACCCUGGUAGUCCACGCCGUAAACGAUGAGUGCUAAGUGUUAGGGGGUUUCCGCCCCUUAGUGCUGCAGCUAACGCAUUAAGCACUCCGCCUGGGGAGUACGGUCGCAAGACUGAAACUCAAAGGAAUUGACGGGGGCCCGCACAAGCGGUGGAGCAUGUGGUUUAAUUCGAAGCAACGCGAAGAACCUUACCAGGUCUUGACAUCCUCUGACAAUCCUAGAGAUAGGACGUCCCCUUCGGGGGCAGAGUGACAGGUGGUGCAUGGUUGUCGUCAGCUCGUGUCGUGAGAUGUUGGGUUAAGUCCCGCAACGAGCGCAACCCUUGAUCUUAGUUGCCAGCAUUCAGUUGGGCACUCUAAAGUGACUGCCGGUGACAAACCGGAGGAAGGUGGGGA